CUCAGCAGCGCUACUUCAGGAUCCCCUUCUAUGCUUUUGCCCCACCAUCAUUUCCUUUCGUUCCUCAGGCCAGAGCAAAGGUAACAAAGCAGCAGCAGGAACGGAUUUGGUGUUCCAGGUCAGAUAACCCCUAAAUUAGAAGCAGGUUCAGAAGGGAGGCACAAGAAGAUUAAAAGGAACACCCAAGGUCCCUUGUGCACUGGACUGAACUGAGGAUAUGGCACAAAACCAUAAGCAUUUUGAUCGGCUCCAGCAUGGCAUUUCAAGGAAGCAGGAGAGGUGAUUAAAUUGCGCAGUCAGAAAGCAUGACUACAAUGCCAAGAAGCCAGCAAUUUUAACACCACAAAAGGAUAAUUGAAUACUUCAGGCCAUAUUAGUUUCAGCACAGACUGACCCUCAGCCGGGGAUGACAGAGUGCCAACAGCUCCCAGCACGAUGACUGACAGAACUGGGACAAGGCAAAUUGCACUUUCGAAGCCUGCAGCAGAACAAGAGCUAAGGGAUAUGCUUUGCAUUAAAAACAGUCAUAUACUGCAUUCUUAGAACAAGGCAUAAAGUAGAACAGCCCGUGACUACCUCCCUUUCCAACCAUUCCAUUUGAAACAUUUUCCAUCCUCCUCUCAUUCUUCUCUUUUGCCAGUCUGAGAGAGAUACAGUCUGCACUACCAGUGUAACGCUAUUUAUAUCUUACACUCUACUGGAGAUUUGUACUAAAUUAAAAAGCUUUUGCUACCUGCGAAUAUCACAUUAAUUGAAAGAACAGCUCAGGGUGUGAGAUCUAUUUAUGGGUGAGUAAAGACUGCUCUUCCUUGCCCCAACUAAGUGCUGCAACUGAGCUUCAUUAUUGCUGUACAAGAGGUCUCUCUGCUGUAACGACUAAGGCAUAGCUGAGGCACCCAAGUGUACUAGAUUUUGACACAUCCCUCCCCCAGAAUCUUUGCUCACAUCUCCAAUAACUGGAUGUUUUGUAACAUUCCCAGCCUGUAUGUGUCUGGGGCUGCCCCAGUGUGAGAAAUUAGGACACACCAAGUAAGACCCUAAUGGGAAAAAACUACAGCUAAGCAAAGGUAAAUCAUAGAAUAGGAUCAUAGAACGGUUUGAGCAGGAAGGGACCUUAAAGAUCAUCCAACUCCCAUACCAUGGGCAGGAACACCUCUCACAAGAUCAGGCUUCUCCUGGCCUUGAACACCUCCAGGGAUGCAGCAGCCACAACUUCCCUGGGCAACCUGAAACCUGCCCCUCUCCGUUUAUACCCAUUGCCCCCUAGUCCUAUCAGGACAAGCCUUUGUGAAAAGUCCCUCUUUCAGUUUUCUUGUUAGCCCCUUCAGGUACUGGAAGGUCACUAUAGGAUCUCCUCAGAGCCUUUUCUUCUCCAGGCUGAACAACCCCAACUCUCUCAGCCUAUCUGCAUAGUAGGGGUGCUCCAGCCCUCCGAUCAUCCUUGUAGCCCUCCUCUGGACCCGUUCGAACAGCUCCAUAUCCUUCUCAUGUUGAGGAUUCCAGAAAUGGACACAAUACUCCAGAUGAAGUCUCACAAGAGAGGAAUAGAUGGGCAGAAUCACCUCCCUGGACCUGCUGGCUAUGCUUCUUUUGAUGCAGCCCAGGACACGUUUGGCCUGGGCUGUGAGCGCCCAUUGACGGCUCAUGUCGAGCUUCUCAUUGACCAUCACUCCCAAGUCCUUCUCUGCAGGACCGCUCUCAACCACAGCAUCCCUCAUCCUGUACUGAAAAUGGGGAUUGCCUCGA
Long non-coding RNA from Cuculus canorus (common cuckoo), 1746 nucleotides. RefSeq lists it as uncharacterized. The record is from RefSeq and is a predicted model, not a curated record. The transcript has 3 exons. NCBI's taxonomy places the organism in Eukaryota, Metazoa, Chordata, Aves, Cuculiformes, Cuculidae.